GGAGCUGUAACCGCUGGCCUGCACCACAGCAGCCACGCCAGAUCCAAACCACAUCUGCAACCUACACCACAGCUCAUGGCAACGCCGGAUCCCCAACCCACUGAGGCCAAGCAUCAAACCUGUGGCCUCAUGGAUACUAUCCGAUUCGUUUCCCCUGAGCCACAAUGGGAACUCCCAAUGAAAGUAUUUCUACCUAGAGUUCCCGUCGUGGCGCAGUGGUUAACGAAUCCGACUAGGAACCAUGAGGUUGCGGAUUCGAUCCCUGGCCUCGCUGCAAAAGCCAAGAACAUCUUUCACAUGCAAAACUGGGAAGCCAGUUCCUUACUCCUUACAAUGGUGUUACAACAAUUCCACGAGGUCAUACACAUGCAGCACCUGAUGCUUUGUAGGGAUUCAACAAAUGUUCAGAUCCUUCCUUCUCUCCUCCGCUUCCCCAACCCCUCUGCCCACUCUCAGCAGUUCCUUGCUUUGGAUUUAGGGUCACAUGUUUAGCACAAUUUGAUCACAUCAAUACACCAUAGGUUCAAUGAGGAGGCCAAUGAUAGCAGAGCCAUGGAUGAAAACGUCUGCUCCUUCACAAUGUGACAUCAGGGACCAACCCUGAAGAAAGAGAUGACCUGAGGGAUGUUUUGGCAAAAGAAGUCAAGAAAGGUACAGAGACAGAGGAAGAGCAUCAGCUUUGAAGCUCAGGCCCCCUGAGGAGGCUCCCAACAGUCAUUCAGUGGCCUCGUCUUAGGCCAAGUCCUUUUGCUCCCUGAUAAGGCGACAACUUGCAAAAACUGCUAGUUCUAUCAACACGAGGUUCAAGUCACCAGGUCAGGCCACUUUGGAAUGCUGCACAAGAGAUGUGGGGAGGGAUUCCGAGGGAACCGGAGUUUUCUUUUGUUUUGUUUUGUUGAGCACCGAUGAGAUGACCUAAUGUAGGAAUGAGUGACAGUCUUUGGGGAAAAUUCUUGGAGAAAUCAUUUAACAUAUUUGGAUGUAGACACAGAAAUAUUGUUGUUCUUGUUUUAAGAGCUCAUACAUCAAAAUGAAAUAGAAAGAUCCUACAUGUAUAUCCUUUUUACUGCUUUUGAAUUAUUUAAUAGUAAAGAUACAUGUUCUGUCCAACUUGCUCAUUUCUUCAACGCUCAGAAUCGAGCACUAGGGAAAGCUUCAUGUCUAUGUGAAAAAUUAAUUGCUACAUGUUAUUUUUCUUACCAUGAAAUUCUAAUCUGUUUACCUUCAAACACUUACUAUUCAUAUAAGCAACGAAGUUGGGUUUUUGUUUUUUUUUUUUAAGAACAAAUGCAAGAGAAGAGUACAGAAUUAAAUAACUGGCUAAAACCUGAAAUGAGACCAAAAUGCCCAUUAAAAUCCUUUCUUGUUAAUUCACAUUUAAUGAGUGGGAAAUCCUUUGCCUAUUAUUAUGCUAUGCAAAUCAACAAGGCAAAAAAGCAGGGAAAAAAAAUUAAGAGCACUGUACU
RNAcentral lists this long non-coding RNA (1466 nucleotides) under Sus scrofa (pig). Its description in RNAcentral is "lncRNA (ENSSSCG00030001469.1)". The record is from RNAcentral. Lineage: Eukaryota; Metazoa; Chordata; Mammalia; Artiodactyla; Suidae.